CAAAUACCCACCGUUUGCUUCAACGUGGAUGGAACUGGAGGGUAUUAUGCUGAGUGAACUAUGCCUCCUUUGGGUCUCCAGAGUCUUCUCCAUGAAGUCGGUGAACAAGGAAAGAUAGGAUUGAAGAGGAGAAGUUUGGGUGCAACAUACCUGGAAGUGACUCACAGCACUGCCACUCAUUCCAUUGGCCAGAACUUAGUCUCAGUGCCACACCAAGUUGCAAAGAAGAUUGGGAACGAGGUCUAGAAGCAGGCAGGAAAAGUCAAGGAAAGCAUGGAUUACAUGAAUACCAGUGAGCACCAGCAGUCUGCUACAAUAGAAAUACAGUGAUAGUUGUAUCUACAAAACUUUGAUUAAUAAAUCUUAUAUUGGAAUUCA
Molecule: long non-coding RNA, 378 nt
Organism: Canis lupus familiaris (dog)
Lineage: Eukaryota; Metazoa; Chordata; Mammalia; Carnivora; Canidae
Exons: 2
Source: RefSeq, a predicted model, not a curated record